AUUGAACGCUGGCGGCAUGCCUUACACAUGCAAGUCGAACGGUAACAGGUCUUCGGAUGCUGACGAGUGGCGAACGGGUGAGUAAUACAUCGGAACGUGCCCGAUCGUGGGGGAUAACGGAGCGAAAGCUUUGCUAAUACCGCAUACGAUCUACGGAUGAAAGCAGGGGACCGCAAGGCCUUGCGCGGACGGAGCGGCCGAUGGCAGAUUAGGUAGUUGGUGGGAUAAAAGCUUACCAAGCCGACGAUCUGUAGCUGGUCUGAGAGGACGACCAGCCACACUGGGACUGAGACACGGCCCAGACUCCUACGGGAGGCAGCAGUGGGGAAUAUUGGACAAUGGGCGCAAGCCUGAUCCAGCAAUGCCGCGUGUGUGAAGAAGGCCUGCGGGUUGUAAAGCACUUUCAUGGGAAGAACAGGUUCGGGUCAAUACCCGGAGCCUGACGUUACCACAGAAGAAGCACCGGCUAACUCCGUGCCAGCAGCC
RNAcentral lists this ribosomal RNA (486 nucleotides) under uncultured bacterium. RNAcentral's name for it is "bacterial SSU rRNA". It matches the Rfam family "Bacterial small subunit ribosomal RNA", at positions 29 to 516 of the family's 1533-position model. The record is from RNAcentral.